RNAcentral lists this transfer RNA (71 nucleotides) under Pseudomonadota bacterium. Its description in RNAcentral is "tRNA-Pro". It matches the Rfam family "tRNA". From Rfam's summary of the family: Transfer RNA (tRNA) molecules are approximately 80 nucleotides in length. Their secondary structure includes four short double-helical elements and three loops (D, anti-codon, and T loops). Lineage: Bacteria; Pseudomonadati; Pseudomonadota. The record is from RNAcentral.
UGCCCUUGUAGCUCAGCGGUAGAGCACCCCCUUGGGAAGGGAGAGGUCUCGGGUUCAAGUCCGCGGGGCAU